RNAcentral lists this ribosomal RNA (2785 nucleotides) under Escherichia coli. RNAcentral's name for it is "bacterial LSU rRNA". It matches the Rfam family "Bacterial large subunit ribosomal RNA". The record is from RNAcentral. Lineage: Bacteria; Pseudomonadati; Pseudomonadota; Gammaproteobacteria; Enterobacterales; Enterobacteriaceae.
AGCGUACACGGUGGAUGCCCUGGCAGUCAGAGGCGAUGAAGGACGUGCUAAUCUGCGAUAAGCGUCGGUAAGGUGAUAUGAACCGUUAUAACCGGCGAUUUCCGAAUGGGGAAACCCAGUGUGUUUCGACACACUAUCAUUAACUGAAUCCAUAGGUUAAUGAGGCGAACCGGGGGAACUGAAACAUCUAAGUACCCCGAGGAAAAGAAAUCAACCGAGAUUCCCCCAGUAGCGGCGAGCGAACGGGGAGCAGCCCAGAGCCUGAAUCAGUGUGUGUGUUAGUGGAAGCGUCUGGAAAGGCGCGCGAUACAGGGUGACAGCCCCGUACACAAAAAUGCACAUGCUGUGAGCUCGAUGAGUAGGGCGGGACACGUGGUAUCCUGUCUGAAUAUGGGGGGACCAUCCUCCAAGGCUAAAUACUCCUGACUGACCGAUAGUGAACCAGUACCGUGAGGGAAAGGCGAAAAGAACCCCGGCGAGGGGAGUGAAAAAGAACCUGAAACCGUGUACGUACAAGCAGUGGGAGCCUCUUUAUGGGGUGACUGCGUACCUUUUGUAUAAUGGGUCAGCGACUUAUAUUCUGUAGCAAGGUUAACCGAAUAGGGGAGCCGAAGGGAAACCGAGUCUUAACUGGGCGUUAAGUUGCAGGGUAUAGACCCGAAACCCGGUGAUCUAGCCAUGGGCAGGUUGAAGGUUGGGUAACACUAACUGGAGGACCGAACCGACUAAUGUUGAAAAAUUAGCGGAUGACUUGUGGCUGGGGGUGAAAGGCCAAUCAAACCGGGAGAUAGCUGGUUCUCCCCGAAAGCUAUUUAGGUAGCGCCUCGUGAACUCAUCUCCGGGGGUAGAGCACUGUUUCGGCAAGGGGGUCAUCCCGACUUACCAACCCGAUGCAAACUGCGAAUACCGGAGAAUGUUAUCACGGGAGACACACGGCGGGUGCUAACGUCCGUCGUGAAGAGGGAAACAACCCAGACCGCCAGCUAAGGUCCCAAAGUCAUGGUUAAGUGGGAAACGAUGUGGGAAGGCCCAGACAGCCAGGAUGUUGGCUUAGAAGCAGCCAUCAUUUAAAGAAAGCGUAAUAGCUCACUGGUCGAGUCGGCCUGCGCGGAAGAUGUAACGGGGCUAAACCAUGCACCGAAGCUGCGGCAGCGACACUAUGUGUUGUUGGGUAGGGGAGCGUUCUGUAAGCCUGUGAAGGUGUACUGUGAGGUAUGCUGGAGGUAUCAGAAGUGCGAAUGCUGACAUAAGUAACGAUAAAGCGGGUGAAAAGCCCGCUCGCCGGAAGACCAAGGGUUCCUGUCCAACGUUAAUCGGGGCAGGGUGAGUCGACCCCUAAGGCGAGGCCGAAAGGCGUAGUCGAUGGGAAACAGGUUAAUAUUCCUGUACUUGGUGUUACUGCGAAGGGGGGACGGAGAAGGCUAUGUUGGCCGGGCGACGGUUGUCCCGGUUUAAGCGUGUAGGCUGGUUUUCCAGGCAAAUCCGGAAAAUCAAGGCUGAGGCGUGAUGACGAGGCACUACGGUGCUGAAGCAACAAAUGCCCUGCUUCCAGGAAAAGCCUCUAAGCAUCAGGUAACAUCAAAUCGUACCCCAAACCGACACAGGUGGUCAGGUAGAGAAUACCAAGGCGCUUGAGAGAACUCGGGUGAAGGAACUAGGCAAAAUGGUGCCGUAACUUCGGGAGAAGGCACGCUGAUAUGUAGGUGAAGUCCCUCGCGGAUGGAGCUGAAAUCAGUCGAAGAUACCAGCUGGCUGCAACUGUUUAUUAAAAACACAGCACUGUGCAAACACGAAAGUGGACGUAUACGGUGUGACGCCUGCCCGGUGCCGGAAGGUUAAUUGAUGGGGUCAGCGCAAGCGAAGCUCUUGAUCGAAGCCCCGGUAAACGGCGGCCGUAACUAUAACGGUCCUAAGGUAGCGAAAUUCCUUGUCGGGUAAGUUCCGACCUGCACGAAUGGCGUAAUGAUGGCCAGGCUGUCUCCACCCGAGACUCAGUGAAAUUGAACUCGCUGUGAAGAUGCAGUGUACCCGCGGCAAGACGGAAAGACCCCGUGAACCUUUACUAUAGCUUGACACUGAACAUUGAGCCUUGAUGUGUAGGAUAGGUGGGAGGCUUGGAAGUGUGGACGCCAGUCUGCAUGGAGCCGACCUUGAAAUACCACCCUUUAAUGUUUGAUGUUCUAACGUUGACCCGUAAUCCGGGUUGCGGACAGUGUCUGGUGGGUAGUUUGACUGGGGCGGUCUCCUCCUAAAGAGUAACGGAGGAGCACGAAGGUUGGCUAAUCCUGGUCGGACAUCAGGAGGUUAGUGCAAUGGCAUAAGCCAGCUUGACUGCGAGCGUGACGGCGCGAGCAGGUGCGAAAGCAGGUCAUAGUGAUCCGGUGGUUCUGAAUGGAAGGGCCAUCGCUCAACGGAUAAAAGGUACUCCGGGGAUAACAGGCUGAUACCGCCCAAGAGUUCAUAUCGACGGCGGUGUUUGGCACCUCGAUGUCGGCUCAUCACAUCCUGGGGCUGAAGUAGGUCCCAAGGGUAUGGCUGUUCGCCAUUUAAAGUGGUACGCGAGCUGGGUUUAGAACGUCGUGAGACAGUUCGGUCCCUAUCUGCCGUGGGCGCUGGAGAACUGAGGGGGGCUGCUCCUAGUACGAGAGGACCGGAGUGGACGCAUCACUGGUGUUCGGGUUGUCAUGCCAAUGGCACUGCCCGGUAGCUAAAUGCGGAAGAGAUAAGUGCUGAAAGCAUCUAAGCACGAAACUUGCCCCGAGAUGAGUUCUCCCUGACUCCUUGA